Cinara cedri is the source of this 4375-nucleotide non-coding RNA. NCBI's taxonomy places the organism in Eukaryota, Metazoa, Arthropoda, Insecta, Hemiptera, Aphididae. The record is from the annotation of a GenBank genome assembly.
AAUAAUUAAUCGAUUAAUGUUGAUUAGUCAAAUAAAAAGUAUUUGCGGGAUUCGGAGUGGGCAAUCGGGUAAAUCGGGAACAAUAAUAAAACGACACAGUUUUUUUUUUUUUUUUUUUUUUUUCGUAGAUUUUAUUUAUACAUAAUAAACGUUAAAUAUAAUAUAAUAUGUAUGCAAUAUUUUUCCCAACAUAUUUUUGGUAGAAAAUAAAAUAAAAUUAUGCAGCAUGCAUAUCAUUACAAUAUUACGGUCUUAUACCGGUUAUCAGCGUGUCUCAUUAUCAUUACAAUAUCAUUAUCGUUAUUAUACAGUAUGUUAUCAUAAUGAUAUAUAGUGUGUUAAUAUAAUAUAUAAUAUGCACGAGACAGGGCGACGGUUUUUUUUUUUUUUUUUUUUUUUUAUCUAUCUGUAAGUACGACAAUAUUAUUAUGUAAUAUAAUAGAACGCGCGGUACGCAAACGAAACGGUCGAAUUUUGUUCCGAUCAAAGCGCGCGGUACAAUCCGAUCAAUCGGUACGAUCGGUUGUGUUUAAUUAUUAUGAUUUCGCUUACGCAGAGGAAUGACCUAAGGCACUUAAUUAUCAAACAACAACAACAAUAACAAUAUUAUUAUUAUUAUUAUAGAACAACAACGACAGACCAAAAAAAAAAAAAAGAAAAAAAGAAAAAGAAAAAGAAAAAAAAAGCCUGCACUUUGCGCGCGCGUAAAAUGAAAAUGCGCGGUAAUAGUAGUAACGGGUAACGAUAAUACACAAUAUUAUUAUUAUUAUUAUAGAACAACAACGACAGACCAAAAAAAAAAAAAAAAAAAAAAAAAGCCGUUACAAUAACAUUUCGGCUUAAUACUGAUGAUGAUUUUUGUGCAUUUUUUUUUUUUUUUUUUUUUUGGCUAGUGCGCGAUUACGAUAAUAUUAUAAUUUUUCAAUUUUGUAAUAACAAUAAAAUAAUUUCUAAAAUCCAUUAAAAAACUAUAAUAUAUUAUGUUAUAGACUAUAUAUUUAUAAUUAUAAUUAAAAUUUGUAUUUAAUGACAUCGUUAAUAAUUUUGUUUUUUUUUGUUUUUUGUUUUUUUUUUUCUAUAAUUCGUCCGUUUAUUAGUGUACAGUAUAACCAAACCGCUACAGUAAUAAUAAUCAAACACGACACAAUAUUAAUGUAGACGACAUUCCGACUUAUUUUGUGAAUAUCAAUUGACGUUAUUAUCAUUAUUACUACACGUUUCAGCGGUCGGGCUGCUAUUAAAAAUACGUUUUUCGACUAACGUUACAACAAUAUAAUAUAAUAUAAUAUAAUAUAAUAUAAUAUAAUAUAAUUUAUGUUAUCAUUAAAUUUUCUAAUAAAAAUAUUCAACAGCGCGUAAUGAUAAUAAUAAUAAUAAUAAUUAUUAUAAUAAUAAUAAUAAUAACAACAGUAAUUGUUGUACUACGAUAGUGAAAAAUAUACAGCGGAUUCUAAAAUAUAAAACAUUUCGUUAUCGUCGACGUUAUUUUUUUUUUUAUUUUUACUUUUUCUUUCGAUCGAUAUUCUACGGUAUAUAGGUGUGAAAUUAAAGGUGUGAAAUUUAGUAUAUUUCCCUGUUCCCGUCCUCCCGAUUUUGCGAAUUACGGUAUAACGCACAACAGUAUUAUGUUUGUAGCCGGAGAAAAAAAAAAAAAAACAACAACACCCCGACGAAUUUUUUUUAAUCGGGAGACAGCGCUAUAAUGGUGGCACGGUUUCGGCGGCGGCUCCGGGGCACCGUGAACAUAACAUCACCGUAUUGGUUAUUGGUUUUUCGACAGGGUUUUGUCCCGUUCUAACUGCAAUACGAUCUAUUAAUUAUCGACGUUCUUUAAGGCGUUGUACCGAAAAAAAAGAAAAAGGAAAAAAAAAAAUUCCCAUUAAUAAUACAGUAGAAUAUAAUAUUGUUUUUUUUUGAAAAAUAACCAUCGUAUGUUUAUAAAAAAAAAAAAACGAUACACAUUACGCUAAUCACACAUAUCGUCAUCGUACGCGGAACACCCUAAGAACCGUUUACAACGCAGUUACCGAACGCAAUAUCACGUUGUUAAAACGUUUCGUAACAAAUUAAACAUUUCUAUAUAAAUAUAACAGACAGUGUACAAUAAUAAUAAUAAUAAUAAUAAUAUAAUUUUCAUUAAGUCGUUCGUUUUUUUUUUUUUUUCCACAAUAAUAUCUCCGGACAGCGCCGCGUAAGAACGUCCGAUAACACGACGCCGUCAAAAACGUUAUAUCGCACGUCGAUCGAACGUUAUUAAACGACGGGUCGCCCGAAAAAUAAUUAGACUACGCGGACAUUGCCGAUACAUCGGUUCUAACAUGUGUGUGUAUAUAUAUAUGUAUAUGUAUAUGUAUGUAUUUAAACGAACGCAAUUUUUAAACUAAUAAAACAUUUGUCGUAUAAUAUCAAAAAAAAAAAAAAACAUUUUUAUUUUUUACAAGUAUAAGCACCAAAUCUCAGACAAUACCGUUUUUUUUUUUUUAGUGCCGGCCACUAUUAUAAUAUUUUCAUAUCGCUAAUCUCAAAAACACUAAAUAUCGUAGUAACGUCGGUGAUACAAUAUUAAAAUGAUAUCACAUGAUGACAAAUGUAUACAGCCGGCUGCGUAACGCGUAUAACAAUGUAUAUAAUCUAAGUAUUCUCAACAACAGUUUUUAACAACGAAAAAUCUUCAGGUUUUUAUCGGAGACAGUUCUAUAGUUUUUUUUUUUUUUUUCGUACGGUUGAGCGCUACUGCGCAGGGAUCGCGCGGCCAGCGGUAAUUCGUGUAGAUCGGAAAUCGAGUUACACAAGUUUUCUAGACACAAACGUGACAGUAACGACAAAACAAUUCAAUACUGCGAUCUCGUCUAGAAAUUAAAAAAAAAUCGUCGGUAUUAUAUCGAGAAAAAAACACCACGGCCCAGGGGGUGUUGCCUGUAACGUGUCGGGGGUAAAACGCGUACGGUUUGCGUGUAAUAUUUCGUACCGGGAUACGGUUUUUCGGGAUUAUUAUUGUUCGUGCGGUGACGGGGGUGGCGGUACCUAAUCGACAGACGUCCUGACGAAACGGACGAGCGGCGGGUUCGCGCCGCACAGGAGGCACGCCGAUGUCGGGGCGAAAAAACUACGCGCCGCCACUGAAAAUAUCCGAGUCGGCCGCGCCACUUAUUUUUUUUCCGUCGGACGUUUCACGCGCGCGCGCGCGUCGCGGUUGUUCACGGUGUAAAAAUCUAAACAAAUUAUCGCGCCUCUCCCCCCCCACCCAUCCCACCUCACUCCCGGGAUUUCGAGCCGAAUCAAAUGAACGCGCGACACUCGAGUAGCAGUGCGCAGGUGUAGGAUGUCGAGUGAUUGUUAUUGUACCGGUAUCGCGUGUUAUUGAUUCGUAUCGAACGCACGAUCGCCAGCGAUUAACAUUGUUGUUUUCGCGUUUUUAUCAGGAGGUACGCGUGUCCCUUGUCCGGUCUCGUUUGCGGUGUCGGCGGUCAACGAUCCGUCGCCGGAAAUCGGAUCUGAUUGUUUUCAGUUUGCGUGUGUGUGUGUGUGUGCGUAUGUGUUUAACGCACGGCGUCGGUACGGGCGACGAUUUACGAUUUUAUUCCCGAAACGCGGAACAGGCCCGGUGUCCGUAUCACACGCACACGCGCACGCCCCACCCGCGGGGAAAUAUUUUUAUCGUGCAGCGAACGGGCCGGUACGCGGUCACGGUAAUGAUAACCAAAGUGGGCAUAUCGCGAGAACGGCGUUGCGGCAAUCGUAAAAUCGCCCCCGUCGACAUCCGCGACCGUCGCGACAACUAUCGAACGUCAUUAUUAAUUGUUUCGGGUUGUUUCCGUCAGCUGUGCCGCCGCGUUUAUCCAUUUUCGUAUCGUCGGGAACCCGGACCCGCCGACUCGCCGCGUCCGCAACCGCGCCGGUCGGGGGACGGCGACGGAAACGUCGCGAAAUCGACGGCUCUCGGCUGUCCCACGGCUCCGGGGCGUGAGCGUCGGCCGCGCGUGUCGGAAGCGUCUCGGCGGGCUGUCCGAACGGGACCGUAAUGCGUUUCGACCGGACGCGACGGCGUUCGGGUUCGUACGGCGGGUCUCGUUUUGAUUGGACGCGUUUCGCGGGGUCAACGGCUCGAAUGCCGCGUGGUUUUUAUUUUAUUUUUUUUUUCCGUUUGAUUGUUUGUUUGUUUUUUUUUUUUUUUCAUAUUCUCUCGGGGGGCGCGCGUCGAAACUUCUCACUGCUGUUAUCGCCGGUCGGGUUUGCCGUACGCGUCCGGCACACGCGCAGCCGCAACCGUUGCGGUUUCACAACGGAGCGGACCACGAACGAACAGUGUCAUCGCAACGGCGCGGACGCACGCGGCACGGGUGUCGUUUAACGAUAGUUUCUUUACUUUUUUUUU